UACGUAGGGGGCAAGCGUUGUCCGGAAUCAUUGGGCGUAAAGAGCGUGUAGGCGGCUCGGUAAGUCCGCUCUGAAAGCCCGGGGCUCAACCCCGGGAGGCGGGCGGAUACUGUCGGGCUAGAGUCCGGAAGAGGCGAGUGGAUUCCUGGUGUAGCGGUGAAAUGCGCAGAUAUCAGGAGGAACACCAAUAGCGAAGGCAGCUCGCU
RNAcentral lists this ribosomal RNA (206 nucleotides) under uncultured bacterium. Its description in RNAcentral is "partial 16S ribosomal RNA". It matches the Rfam family "Bacterial small subunit ribosomal RNA", at positions 524 to 730 of the family's 1533-position model. The record is from RNAcentral.